CUACGGGUCGCUGCAGUGGGGAAUAUUGGACAAUGGGGGAAACCCUGAUCCAGCAAUGCCGCGUGUGUGAAGAAGGCCUGCGGGUUGUAAAGCACUUUCGGUUGGGAGGACUGCUUCUAGCACUAAUAUUGUUGGAAGUUGACGUUACCUUCAGAAGAAGCACCGGCUAACUCCGUGCCAGCAGUCGCGGUAAUACGGAGGGUGCAAGCGUUAAUCGGAAUUACUGGGCGUAAAGCGCGCGUAGGCGGCUAGAUCAGUCGGGUGUGAAAGCCCCGGGCUUAACCUGGGAACUGCAUCCGAUACUGUCUAGCUUGAGUACAGGAGAGGAGAGUGGAAUUCCACAUGUAGCGGUGAUAUGCGUAGAUAUGUGGAGGAACACCAAUGGCGAAGGCAGCUCUCUGGCCUGAUACUGACGCUGAGGUGCGAAAGCGUGGGGAGCAAACAGGAUUAGAUACCCGGGUAGUC
RNAcentral lists this ribosomal RNA (465 nucleotides) under uncultured bacterium. Its description in RNAcentral is "partial 16S ribosomal RNA". It matches the Rfam family "Bacterial small subunit ribosomal RNA", at positions 339 to 795 of the family's 1533-position model. The record is from RNAcentral.